RNAcentral lists this ribosomal RNA (331 nucleotides) under uncultured bacterium. Its description in RNAcentral is "bacterial SSU rRNA". It matches the Rfam family "Bacterial small subunit ribosomal RNA", at positions 568 to 897 of the family's 1533-position model. The record is from RNAcentral.
CGUGUAGGCGGUUGGUCAAGUCGGGUGUGAAAGCCCGGGGCUCAGCCCCGGAAGUGCAUCCGAAACUAGCCAGCUAGAGCGCGAUAGAGGAGGGUGGAAUUCCUGGUGUAGCGGUGAAAUGCGUAGAUAUCAGGAGGAACACCGGCGGCGAAGGCGGCCCUCUGGAUCGUUGCUGACGCUGAGACGCGAAAGCGUGGGGAGCAAACAGGAUUAGAUACCCUGGUAGUCCACGCCUUAAACGAUGGGUACUAGGUGUUCGGGGUGUUGACCCCCUGAGUGCCGCAGUUAACGCAUUAAGUACCCCGCCUGGGGACUACGGCCGCAAGGUUAA